CGACCUCAGAUCAGACGAGACGACCCGCUGAAUUUAAGCAUAUUACUAAGCGGAGGAAAAGAAACUAACCAGGAUUCCCUCAGUAGCUGCGAGCGAAGAGGGAAGAGCCCAGCGCCGAAUCCCCCGUCCCCUCGUGGGCGCGGGGAAAUGUGGCGUACGGAAGUCCGCAUCGCCCGGCGCGGGCCGGGGGCCUGAGUCCUUCUGAUGGAGGCUCAGCCCGUGGACGGUGUGAGGCCGGUAACGGCCCCCGCCCCGCCGGGGCGCGGACUUCUCAGAGUCGGGUUGUUUGGGAAUGCAGCCCAAAGAGGGUGGUAAACUCCAUCUAAGGCUAAAUA
RNAcentral lists this ribosomal RNA (335 nucleotides) under Silurus asotus (Amur catfish). RNAcentral's name for it is "eukaryotic LSU rRNA". It matches the Rfam family "Eukaryotic large subunit ribosomal RNA", at positions 1 to 322 of the family's 3401-position model. The record is from RNAcentral. Lineage: Eukaryota; Metazoa; Chordata; Actinopteri; Siluriformes; Siluridae.